GGAUUCAGAAUGUUGAGAUUAAAAAUCACUGUGAGGAGCGUAGAAGACAAGACCCAUAAUUUUUUUAUUACCCUAAUAGGAUUUUAUCAACUGAAAGGUGGGUAACCAUCUCAUUGUGUAGAAGCUUCCUAAAGUGGUGUUGUCAAUUUGUGUGAUAAGUUAAUAUUUUUCCAAAACUUAGUCUUUUUUUUUUCUAUAAUUUUAUCUGCAAUGUUACAAAGUUGUGAACUUUGUGUUGCUUGGAUAUCUUAAGUGUCUCCAUAGGGCGUUAGUCGUUAAUGGUGCCUUGUCAGGUCUAAUGCUGUGUAAAGUUUAUAGUCUUUGUAGGCAUUUUUUGCUUGUUACCAGCAUGAUUCUCUCCUGAUUGAAUCUCGUCGUGUGCUGCAAUUUCAGAAUCUAUGUGAACUCCAUGCUUAGUUAUUAUAAUCGAAGAUGUGUUUAUGAAUAGUUUGAUGUUGCCUUAGUAGAUUGCAAACAUUUGAAUUGUUAAAGUUGGGAAUGUCUAUGGCUACUGUAUUGUGCUUUUAAAUUAUUUAUGCAUUUUAAGAAUCCAAAACCAAUUAUAAAUAUAGAAGCGUACGAAUUUAUAUAAGUUUUUACAUAUGAGUUACCAAUUAUAAGUUUAUAUAUAUAUAUAUAAAGUUUAUUACAUGUAUGAGUCACCUCAAAAUUCAGUGAAUGUAUGGGUCUCUUCACUCAUUUGCUUGAUUAUCACCUUAGCGCUAGUGUUUUUCUUUCAUAUGAAAAAGGGGACAUUCCUGCCUCUGCAGACUUAAAUUUAAGAAUAUGUUUGUAUCUCAUGUAAUACGACAUUGAUUGGUGAAAAAUUGAAAUUGUUAUUUCACCAAUAUUCUUUCUUAUGAGUGUGAAUAUAUAUCGUGCCUUAUUUUUUAAAAAGUUCUAAGUGGAUCACGCUGUCGUCAAUGGAGGCCAAUGCUAGUACUUUUUUACCUGCCAUUUAUAUUUAUAUUUAAUCAUACUUCUAAUAGAGGAGUGAGUACAUUGUUUUGAACCUUUUUUCUAAUCAUAUAGUCCUAGCAAACUGACUUGGAGGAGAGUAGU
Molecule: unclassified non-coding RNA, 1062 nt
Filed under: Hevea brasiliensis (rubber tree)
Lineage: Eukaryota; Viridiplantae; Streptophyta; Magnoliopsida; Malpighiales; Euphorbiaceae
Source: RNAcentral